Long non-coding RNA from Mesocricetus auratus (golden hamster), 656 nucleotides. RefSeq lists it as uncharacterized. The transcript is spliced from 3 exons. The record is from RefSeq and is a predicted model, not a curated record. NCBI's taxonomy places the organism in Eukaryota, Metazoa, Chordata, Mammalia, Rodentia, Cricetidae.
CCCCAACGUUACAGAGGAACUUCGGGUGACUGUCCAGGCACAGACGAACAUCAAAGAAUCCAUGAUACCUAGGGUCGCUGAUGGCUUGCUUCUUGAGCACACGGGAAAACCAGACACUGAGGUGUUUAGAGAGCAUGUCUUGGACUAUUUCCAACAUAUCAUCUCAUGGUGAGCUGAUAUCAUUUUACUCAGCUGCUUGUCUGUAAGCCCAUGGGGAGAUCUCCAUUUCUGUCACUUCUACAUAACAGUUCUUCACAGUCUACACCCUAUUUGAGAGAGGCUUGAGGUCCAUUCUCAAAGUCUUCUCUGGUGGAAAGUAAUAUCAGCAUGGAACAACUCAGAGAAAGUAGGAGAGUCACUCCAGAGGUCACACACAUUGAAAAUCCCUCCUACUUCCAUAUAAGAACCAAUGUUUCCUAAAGCCCCAAGCCAUAGAGGGACAAAUCUCCACAGGCAAUGACUUAAUAAGUUUAAGACCAAUCCAAGCUUUUGACAAAGUCAGAACCUGCUUAUCAUCUCCAGGAUCUAGCCUGAUGAUCUUCCUGACUCCCCACAAUCCAAUAGAUCUAAUCUGGGUGCCAUGGUGAUGGGGGAUGUCCUUCUGAAUAUAUGUUUCUCUUAUUGGUUGAUGAAUAAAACACUGAUUGGGCAGUAGG